GCACUGGUGGCUCUGUGAUAGAGUCCUUACCUUUCAUGCCAGAGACCUGGGUUUGAUUCCCAGCCAAUGCG
Molecule: transfer RNA, 71 nt
Filed under: Loxodonta africana (African savanna elephant)
Lineage: Eukaryota; Metazoa; Chordata; Mammalia; Proboscidea; Elephantidae
Rfam family: tRNA
About the family: Transfer RNA (tRNA) molecules are approximately 80 nucleotides in length. Their secondary structure includes four short double-helical elements and three loops (D, anti-codon, and T loops).
Source: Rfam by way of RNAcentral